This 740-nucleotide ribosomal RNA is filed under the name uncultured bacterium. Its description in RNAcentral is "bacterial SSU rRNA". It matches the Rfam family "Bacterial small subunit ribosomal RNA", at positions 123 to 858 of the family's 1533-position model. The record is from RNAcentral.
AAUCUACUCUGUCGUGGGGGAUAACGUAGGGAAACUUACGCUAAUACCGCAUACGACUACGGGUGAAAGCAGGGGAUCUUCGGACCUUGCGCGAUUGAAUGAACCGAUGUCGGAUUAGCUAGUUGGCGGGGUAAAGGCCCACCAAGGCGACGAUCCGUAGCUGGUCUGAGAGGAUGAUCAGCCACACUGGGACUGAGACACGGUCCAGACUCCUACGGGAGGCAGCAGUGGGGAAUAUUGGACAAUGGGCGCAAGCCUGAUCCAGCCAUACCGCGUGGGUGAAGAAGGCCUUCGGGUUGUAAAGCCCUUUUGUUGGGAAAGAAAUCCAGCCGGCUAAUACCUGGUUGGGAUGACGGUACCCAAAGAAUAAGCACCGGCUAACUUCGUGCCAGCAGCCGCGGUAAUACGAAGGGUGCAAGCGUUACUCGGAAUUACUGGGCGUAAAGCGUGCGUAGGUGGUUAUUUAAGUCCGUUGUGAAAGCCCUGGGCUCAACCUGGGAACUGCAGUGGAUACUGGAUGACUAGAAUGUGGUAGAGGGUAGCGGAAUUCCUGGUGUAGCAGUGAAAUGCGUAGAGAUCAGGAGGAACAUCCAUGGCGAAGGCAGCUACCUGGACCAACAUUGACACUGAGGCACGAAAGCGUGGGGAGCAAACAGGAUUAGAUACCCUGGUAGUCCACGCCCUAAACGAUGCGAACUGGAUGUUGGGUGCAAUUUGGCACGCAGUAUCGAAGCUAACGC